Gasterosteus aculeatus aculeatus (three-spined stickleback) is the source of this 1595-nucleotide long non-coding RNA. The record is from Ensembl. NCBI's taxonomy places the organism in Eukaryota, Metazoa, Chordata, Actinopteri, Perciformes, Gasterosteidae.
GGUCGAGAACAUCAACAUAAGCAGUCCAGCAUCGGAGUGCUUCCUCUCCUCCAGGGAACGUGUGACAGGAAAAGUAAAUAACGGCUCCGGAGGCCGUCGGCUGGUCAAAACAAGGCGCAGAGCUGGGGCCUGCACGCCGGAAACGCACACGCACUGCACGUGCACCUCCUGCUGGCAGCAGUGCAGUGGUGUUACCUGUGGAGGCCAUGGUGAGCAACAGGAGCGUUGAGGGGUAGAGGGCCUGUCCUGCCAUGAGGAGGGAGCGCGUGUUGGAGUAGGAGUGCACCGUCUCAGAUCUCCAGCAGAGGGCGAACACCAGACACAAAGCACCAGUGCUGGCGGCCAUGAGGAAGGAAAGAACUCCAAAUACUCUCUCUGCUUCCAGCACUGGAAGACACAUAGACGACCACAUACAGUUCAAAAAAAGGGAAGGAGAAACUAGACUCUUAUAUCGACCUUUAAGCGGAUUACAUUUUUGUUAUAAACAGGCAGCAUAUUGAAUUGAUGACUCAUGGUUGCAUUCCCUCAUCACAUGUAUCAAGGUGUACUUUAUGGGUUGUUUUCAUGUCUAUUGAGCUGACAUUUAAUUGCUUUCAUUCCUUCAGUGUGUUUGAACAACAGCAAAACCACAAAAAUAUGAACAAGUUGUUAUCUAAUUUCUAAAUGCCCUUGCUGGAGCUCCAUCUGUGAGUCCAUGUACAGUUACAGACGGUUUGUGAAUUGUUCAUCUGGUUAUCAAUGUGGUCAUGAGAGAUAGUAGCUUUCAGACACUAGUGUUGAGCUGACUGCAUUGUAUUUCAUCGUUGUAUUUUUCCUUGUUCAAGGAUUUAAGGGGAACACGUCCAACAGCUUGUCCUUUUUUUUACGUCAACAAACAAGAUGCACCUGACAAAGAGAAGGUGGCCAAGCUCUCGAGAAAUUUGUCUCCAGCCGAGUGGGAACCUGUCUGGUAAGAGUUCGCUCCUCUGGUGCCGAGGCGAGCUCAAACUUGUUUAUGGCUGCUGACAGAGGAGAUGCCCUGCAGCGCUGUUUUUUUUCAGAUGCUCCUCAUGGUGCGAAAGGAUGAUUCAGAUGAGAAAUAAAAAGCCAAGGCUGUCUGUAGCAGAAUCAGUGCCUUAUCAGCAGUGGUUUUAUAUUCUGCCCUUUUUCACACAUGUCAAAACAUGCAACCUAAACCACAUUUUUGACCAAAUGUGAUCUGAUGGGCUGCAGACAAAUGUUAAAGAUGUAAAUGUGGCAUGUUGCUCACCGUUGAAGAGAAAACCAUCUCUACUGCUUGUCUGGUCACUUUUAGUGUUAUUCCCCGCUGUCCAGAGACCCCGGUCCUUCAGCCAGAACGGUGUCCAGACCGCGUAGCAGACACACAGGCAACCGGCCAAACCCACGCAGGACUGAGAAAACCUGAAGCGACUGUUGGAGUCCCUCAGCUCCAGAAACGCCAUAGUGCUGGAUCACCGAGAGGCAAAGAAAACAGAUCGGGACAAGAGGAACAGAUGAGUAUUCAGAGUGCAUUGAAAGUGAGUAACAGUGAGAAGUCUUUAAACUAACCUGAUGUAGGCAUCAGAUGAAUAUGAUAUCAGAAAGUAAAAUUCUAA